This 1562-nucleotide long non-coding RNA is filed under the name Glycine max (soybean). RNAcentral describes it as "long non-coding RNA (GMAX_LNC003815)". The record is from RNAcentral. Lineage: Eukaryota; Viridiplantae; Streptophyta; Magnoliopsida; Fabales; Fabaceae.
UCAGUUUUACUUUAAUUACACACGUAUUCUAUUUUUUUUUUCAAAUAUUUCUUUUGGCAACCCCUGUAUCUAAAUGGGGUUAAUUUUUCAUUAAAUUUUUAAAGUAAAUUGCAUAUAUAUCCUAUCUAUUUUUAGCAAAACCCAAAAUUACCCCAGAUUUUAACAGAACUUAUUCUCCCAAUUAACCCAAAAUUUCGUUCAAUAUUCUCAAACAUUCAAUCCCUCUUUGUGGCGGCGACCUCGUCGGACGGCGACAAGGACCAAAUAGUCUGGUAUGGCGAAAACCCUGUUGGGGAUGCGAUCUACAUUAAACAAGUUAGACCCUCUUUGUGGCGGUGACUUCAACCAACGGCGACGAGGAUCUGGCAGAUGGUGAACAACGACGAUUCAAAACCUUCAGAGCCUUUCGACUGCGAACACCGGCAUCGCUUGAGCAGUUCCCUUGUCUUUGCAAUCUUUAGAAGCUAAUUAUCUCCGACAGCAGAAUCCUCGGUGGCUUCAAAUUUUUCGUCCAUGGUGGUGAUGCGCCUCUUGCCGGCGUUGUCUUGUGAAGAUGAAGCGGAACACAACAUUCUCCAUAGAUGCUGUCGGUAAAAAUUAAAUAUACACUGCCAUUAUAAUUUGCUUAGCCACUAAGAGAAUUUUUGCUUCCCUGUUAAGUAUUCACCGCCAAGCUAGAAGGGUAUAGAAACUUCCAAAUCUGAAAUAUGAUGACAACAAAUUGCAGCACCUCCUUUACUCCACUAUCUUAAUUUCUUUUGUUAACCAUUAAACGUUUUCUCACUUUAUUGUAUUUACUUCCCUAUACAAUUGUAACGCAUUUGAAAUGAAUUCAAUAGAUGAAUUUGUGUGAACGAAAGUAAGAAAUUGAAGUAUAAAUUCUUCCUUCUCUCUCGUUUUAUUUUUCGGCUGCGUGAGUGAAUGAGUUUUUUUUUUUUUUUUGUAAGGUGAGUGUUUGGGAGUUGAGUUACUUGUAAUUGUGGGAAUGAUGACAGAGGAGGGAGAAUUAAGAACUAUGUGAGGUUCACAGAGAGAGAAGAUUGAUUAUUAGAUUACUGCAAAAAAAAAUAAAAAAAAAAUUGCGUAGUUGAAUUUGGUUUGAAUUUGUUUUUGCUGCAAUUUAUUUUUCUACAAACCCAGCUCCCCCUUUGAAUGGGUGUGCACGAAGAAGAGAAGGGUAUUCGAGAUUAAAAAAAUCAUUAAAUGACAUGUGCUAGGCACAUGAUCUGUUGAAGUUAACAGACGGUAUUAAGGGAUUAAGGGUACUAGUGUAAUGAAUAUUAAAAAAUUAGAAGAUUUUCAGUCGACUAAAAAGAAAAGGAGAAGAUAUAUGUAUAAAUGAAAUAAAACAGAGAAAAUAUUAUUGUAAUUUAUUCUAAUCUUUAAAUAUAAUAAGUCAUCCAUAUACAAAAAGGAGUAAAUAUAAAUCAUACAAGCAUGCAUGUGAUGAAGAUUUAAUGUUAUGAAAGAAGUAAAUAUAUUAGUUGUGUUGUGACAAUAAAAUCUUUGAGGCCGGAGUAUAUACGUACGUGUCUAGGAGCGACGUAUUGAUCGAUCGUAGG